Molecule: long non-coding RNA, 415 nt
Filed under: Amazona collaria (yellow-billed parrot)
Lineage: Eukaryota; Metazoa; Chordata; Aves; Psittaciformes; Psittacidae
Description: lncRNA (ENSACOG00000017271.1)
Source: RNAcentral
AUUGGAGCCUCCCUUCAGCACUUGGACCUCUCUGGAAACCCUGGCUCCCUGACUGGGGAUGACACCAGUAAACUGCAGAACCUCCUUCACGAGUGCCACUCGCUGUCCCAUCUCAGCCUGGCCAGCACAGACUGCCCCUUGGAUACUCUCUUUGGAGCCCUGGUCCACGGAUGCCACACCAGCCUCACCCAUCUGGAUCUCUCCAAAAAUGUGUAUUCCCACAAGAGGGUGAAAACCAGCUCCUCUGGCAUCAAGGAGUUUUUCAGCCGGGCCUGUUCCCUCAGGCACGUCUCCUUGGCAGGCACCAAGCUGCCAGCAGAUGCUGUAAGGUGAGGGGGGGCUAUGGGUCCACCAAGGGGAAUGGAUUUUGGGUGAGCAUGGUCUUGCAGAGGGAGUACACUCAGGGCUUUGCAUG